This is a long non-coding RNA of Musca vetustissima, 611 nucleotides long. RefSeq lists it as uncharacterized. The transcript has 2 exons. Lineage: Eukaryota; Metazoa; Arthropoda; Insecta; Diptera; Muscidae. The record is from RefSeq and is a predicted model, not a curated record.
GUUUACAAACUGCUGGACAAAAAAUGUUCCCUCAUCGGAGUUCACCACCUUCGGCCAAGCGAAGCAACUCUUUAGCUCUUUUGAGUCUAUUUUCUUUUUGUUGCGAUGUAAUUUCUUGCACUUUUUGGAAUUUCAAUGGCUUUACCCCGAACUCAUUUUUCAAUAUUUGCCAAUUGAAAUAUUGCGAUAGGUUGAGAACACGAUCAAUUUUUCGGCCACAGCGACGCAGGUUUCUACCAAGUCACUUCUUUAUUUUUCGAGCUAUUGCGGCUGAUGUUGCUGUUUUCUUCCGUCCACUUCCUUGACGUCGGGCUAUGCUACAAGUAUCACUAUAACGAACGACGGUACUAGACACAAACGAUUUAUACACAUUUAAAUGCUGGAGUGCUCUAACGAUAGCCACUUGUGGUUUUCCAGAAAUCACACUAUCACGCUUGUAUUCCAUCACGAAUAACUUUUUUUCUGGAAAAUUCUCACCAAAAUGCUUUUGUACGCUUGUAAACAAUAUAAUUAGCUGUCACUGGAAUAAUUUUAACAGCUGUCGGACGAGUGGCUUAGAAAUGACAGCAGUCUGAAGUUGGUUGCAGUUGUUUCAUCUCACCCUGUAUGUA